Molecule: long non-coding RNA, 1197 nt
Filed under: Helianthus annuus (common sunflower)
Lineage: Eukaryota; Viridiplantae; Streptophyta; Magnoliopsida; Asterales; Asteraceae
Description: sRNA HanXRQr2_Chr09g0368441
Source: RNAcentral
UUCGGUGUAGAUGUUACCAACAGAUGUGACCUGCAUCUGACGCUUCCCUACAAUUCCACUAUAGGAAGUGAUGUACUCGGGCUACGCUAGUCAAUCGGGAUGGACCUGUGACAAACAAAAUGCAAUCUUGCAUUCAAUUAGUAAGUAUACUGAAAUCAUAACAAAUACAUUUUUGUGCUUCUAAGCAACAAAAAGAAGAGGGAACCUAUUUUAAAAAUCUAAACAUCAAUAUUUUCAAGACAACUUCUUACACGAUGCUAAGUAGAAGUUCAUUGAUGAAAACAUUACUUUUAGGAUAUGAUAAACUAUAAACGUAUGGUAAUAAUAGCUUUAUCGACUAUAUAUAGCAAGCACCUAUAGAAUUACCAAUUACUUUAUGGUAGAAGUGAAACAAAUAGAUAAUUUAUGUGUAGAACUAAAAAAGAAAAAAAAAUAAAGUGGUAAAGAAAACUGGUUAAAUGGGUCAAACGGUUUGAAGUUGCCCGAAGUGCGUAGUGAAUUCAACCUACAAUUACUUAUAAAUGGACAAAAGAACAGUUAUUUAUAAAUGGACAAAAGAACGUCUGUUCAAUGACAACACAGACUCGCUGGACCAAACCUAUGCAAUCAGCGCAUAAUUUAAGAACUUGAAACCCAACCUGUUUUAGUGGCGAAGGAGACCCUUUUUCGGCAGAAGUGAGGAUUCUGGACUUCAUAUGUGGACAUUUUUGCUGCAACAAAAGUAUCAAACUUUUACAAAUGUCAAACCUUUCAUGAUAGAAUUCAUGAAAUUUAAAUCAAGAAGAAACGAAACUCAUAAAUUGGCUUACAAAUGAUACACUUGGUUGUUCCUACGGUGCCAAUCUAGAUGUAAUGUGCAUAAAAACUUAAAGAGGUCAAAACUUCGACCCGUUUACUUAUAAAUAGGUUGAUUUGGCUAUGCUUUAUGAAAGAGGGCGAUUUGGGUUAUCUUUUUCUCUAACAACUCAAACUAAAAACAAAAGCAAUAAAAGGAAAACAUGUUGAAUAUGUAUAACCGAUUCGAAGUCGCCAUCAUGUAUUUUUAUUGCAUAAAACCUCCCCAAUCAUUAUAUCAAGAAUAUAGAAAUGAGAAAUCUAUUGAAAUAACAUACUUCUUAUAGUCAUAUUUAAGACACUGAAUAAAUAAGUUAAAGACCUAAAAAAAUGAGAGAUCGUUUUGGGUCGACCCAACUCAUU